Molecule: long non-coding RNA, 320 nt
Organism: Patella vulgata (common limpet)
Lineage: Eukaryota; Metazoa; Mollusca; Gastropoda; Patellidae
Exons: 3
Source: RefSeq, a predicted model, not a curated record
GGACCUGUACUAAAAGAUAUGAUCGAGAAUAUGAAACAGAAGAUUGCCGGUAAAAGUACCAAGAAAAUGAUGGUUUACGUUGCUCAUGAUACAACUAUUACGGCUUUACUUACCGCCAUGGGAGUGUUCAAUCAGCAGGCUCCACAAUACACCGCAACGGUCAUGAUGGAUUUACACCAAGAGAAUAAACAGUAUUAUGUACAGCUUUACUAUAAAAAUGACACGUGGCCGGAACCAGAAAACGUCAUGACACUAACUUUACCAGGGUGUGACGAGAAAUGUCCCUAUAACAAGUUUAUUGAAUUGACCAAAGACAAAAU